AUGAACGCUAGCGGGAGGCCUAACACAUGCAAGCCGAGCGGUAGAGAUCUUUCGGGAUCUUGAGAGCGGCGUACGGGUGCGGAACACGUGUGCAACCUGCCUUUAUCUGGGAGAUAGCCUUUCGAAAGGAAGAUUAAUACCCCAUAAUAUAUGAUUCGGCAUCGGAUACUAUUGAAAGCUCCGGCGGAUAGAGAUGGGCACGCGCAAGAUUAGAUAGUUGGUGAGGUAACGGCACACCAAGUCAGUGAUCUUUAGGGGGCCUGAGAGAGUGAUCCCCCACACUGGUAAUGAGACACGGACCAGACUCCUACGGGAGGCAGCAGUGAGGAAUAUUGGACAAUGGGUGAAAGCCUGAUCCAGCCAUCCCGCGUGAAGGACGACGGCCCUAUGGGUUGUAAACUUCUUUUGUAUAGGGAUAAACCUACCCUCGUGAGGGUAGCUGAAGGUACUAUACGAAUAAGCACCGGCUAACUCCGUGCCAGCAGCCGCAGUAA
This 494-nucleotide ribosomal RNA is filed under the name uncultured bacterium. Its description in RNAcentral is "partial 16S ribosomal RNA". It matches the Rfam family "Bacterial small subunit ribosomal RNA", at positions 29 to 523 of the family's 1533-position model. The record is from RNAcentral.